RNA transcript from Saccostrea cuccullata (small rock oyster), 2353 nucleotides. RefSeq lists it as uncharacterized. NCBI's taxonomy places the organism in Eukaryota, Metazoa, Mollusca, Bivalvia, Ostreida, Ostreidae. The record is from RefSeq and is a predicted model, not a curated record. The transcript is spliced from 8 exons.
UCCUGGCCACAACGCAACAAUUCUUGCUGUGAAGCAUAUUGUGCAAUUUAUUCACUUUUCAGCAUUAGACAAUCAACUACUUUCCAUUUACUAAUUCUAGACAUUUGAGAGGAGAGCGUGUGUGUAAAGGUGUGUUUGUGUGUGUGGUUGGACCCCUUUUAGAUCCGUGGAUGGGAAAAACAGAAUGUGUAUCAACUGCUUUGUUUCCGAUUAGAUGAAACUAUGUUUUCUUUUAGAGUACAAUGAAGAAAUAUAUACACGUCCUGAAUCCAGAAGAAACGCCGUUGCUAAAAAAGGUGAAGCAGAAAUAUUAUAAGGGCAGCCUCUGAUGACAGCGAGCCUAAAGACGCUAGAUACAUCAUGAUAAGGAUGUCAGGCUUCAGUUUUGGCACAAUUUGCAUAGCAUUCUUCAUUAUUAUACCCAGCAAUAUUGUUGAAUCGACGACUUUUAUAACGCAAAUAAUGAAAAGAUCCACAAAGGAAACAAAUUGCUCAGAAGCGACGAAAACUGCAAAUGCUGCUGUAUCUUGCCCAACAGAUUUAGAAUAUAUCAAAGAUCGAGCAAGAAUAUUUAACUGCGAAAAUGUUCAUGAUCCAUGUUCAGCUGAAAAAUUGACGUACCACUGUGUUUCUUCUGGAACAAUUAUAAAAGAAGUAUGUGCUCCAAGAAAAUAUCUUACAGGAAAAUAUUGUGUCCACUUUGAUGAAGGAGUAGGCCGCGUCCUUGAAGAUUUCACUAUUUCGUGUCCUGAGUGUCCCCUUCAUUAUUAUUCUAAUGAAUCUUUUAUAUAUCCAUCAUGCCUAAAACGAAUACAAUCUUUGUUUGUUACCCAGACAACUUCGCUUACAACCCAAAAGUCUUUGUCUGAAUGGAAAACUACAAUAAAAUCUACACAAAUGCCAGCCAAGGAGGAGAAUGGAACAACCAAUGCAACGAAUAUUUGCGGAACUUUUUCGGAGCGUCACAAACGAAGUGUAAGCUGUCAGCAAAGCAUCACUUCAGGACCUAAUGAUAACAGUCAAUUAGAUGACAUAAAUGGGGCUCAAAAGAUGUUUCUGAUGUUGCCAUAUUGCCAUUUUUUAUCGAGUAUUUUCAUGUCACGGCUUUUGUAUUGGGGUUUGCUGUUUUAAAAGUCUGGAUAUGAUUAAGUGAAGGCUGCACGACGACGCCAUUUUAGACUACCUGUAGGACUUUGACAUGUGGUAAAAUGCAAAUGAAAUUCGAUGAAAAUCUUAUUAAGAGGCAUAAAAGCAGUCACAUUUGGCAAUUAUUCAAAAUGGAAUCGUUUUCUGGACAUCAAAAUUCUAUGCACACACUAUGGCAGGCAUUUAAUGUAAUUAUUGGCAAGUGGGCAAAUCGUAUCACAUCUAUCAAAGCUGAAUUACUUCAUACCAAAUCUCAACAUCUGUUUCACAUAUUCAGCCGUAGAAGGAUUUAACUACGCCAACGUCGUUCUACAAGAUCAAAAUAUAGGAUUUAGCGUGGAUAAGACCGACCAACAAGGGUGCCUACUCCUCUUAGGCACCUGAUUUCAUCUGGGAUGUUCACUUGUCUGUAUUUUAUACCCUCUUCACAGAUUUGUAUUGUCUAUACUUUUUAGGUUCAUCUCUUUUACUCAUUGACUAUUUUACUGUUGGAUAUGAUUGUAAACGGUGGCAUUCUGAAGUGAUUCAUAAUUUCAAUGAAAUACAAUGCAAAGCGUGAACAAAGUGAAAUCAAAAUACAUAUAAUAAGUGAAAGGCUGAUUCCUAAUUUUAAUCAUUUUGACUAUUAUUGUUAUUUCACGAUCAUGACAAUGAGCACAUGGCGGGUGUGACCGGUCGGCAAGGGAUGCUCACUUCCCCGCGGUAUCUGAUCCAUUCUCUAAUGUUUCGGAGGUCCGAGUCUGCUCUGCUAGUAUUUUGUAUUGUUUUACGGAUUUGAUAUUGAAUACUGUUCGUUAUCUCUAUAUCCUUCUUUAAAUGAUUUUCGUUAGAUUGUUUAAUCAUUUGUUUUGGUAAAAUCGUAAAAUCUUUUUUUUUUUUCAAUUUAUAAGUACCAUAGUCAUAUUUAUCAAAAAUUACAAUUUUAUUUGCUGAAGAACAGAUGAGUAAACAAAAAAUGGAUGCCUGUGUUCGUUUACAUUUUUUAGAAUAAAUUUCUUUGAUUGUAAAUGAUGCAAAUUAUAUUUUUUUCUAGAAUUUAAAGAAAUUGUAAUCUUUUGUGAUAUUCAAAAUUCUUUUCUUCUGAAACCAUCAUUAUUAUUCUAGACAAAUAUAUUUCACUCUAAAUUCAAUUUUUGUGCAACGUAAGAAAAAAAACCCCGAAGAUUCUCUGAAACUUAUUCAUUUGAUUCCUUCAAACAUGACCCAA